GACGAACGCUGGCGGCGUGCCUAAUACAUGCAAGUCGAGCGCUGAAGGGUGGUGCUUGUACCAACUGGAUGAGCAGCGAACGGGUGAGUAACGCGUGGGGAAUCUGCCUUUGAGAGGGGGAUAACAUUUGGAAACGAAUGCUAAUACCGCAUAAAAUCUUUAAACACAAGGUUCAAUAGUGAAAGAUGCAAUUGCAUUAACUAAAGGAGAUCCCGCGUUGUAUUAGUUAGUUGGGAAGGGAAAGGCUAACCAAGGCAAUGAUAAGUACCCGCCCUGGGAGGGUGACCGCCCACAUGGGAACUGGGCCACGCCCCAAACUCCUACGGGAGGAGCCGGAGGGGAUCCUUCGCAAUGGGCGAAAGGCUUACCGGGGAACCCCGGGGGAGGGAAGGAGGGUUUCGGGUCGUAAAAACCCGUUGGUAGGGAAAAACGUAGGUGGGAGUGAAAAGCGCAUGAAGUGACGGUAACUACUCAGAAAGGGACGGCUAACUACGUG
Molecule: ribosomal RNA, 496 nt
Filed under: uncultured bacterium
Lineage: Bacteria
Description: partial 16S ribosomal RNA
Rfam family: Bacterial small subunit ribosomal RNA
Source: RNAcentral